GGGGGUCUCCAAAAGCUUGACUUAAGGGAGCUUCACCACAAGUUUUUGAAGCACCAUUUUUUAUUAAGACAGUAGAAAACUUUGUGGAGGCAAAAGCCCAAGGUGUAGUGGAUCAGGAGGGAUGAUGGAAAUAUUGGAUUCUUUCAUUAAUUCAUCUUGAUUCGGAGGUUUGCCAACUACAUCAGGCAGCUAAGGGAGAGUGAUGGGAGAUGGGUGGAUGAUAGGGAGGAGGUCAGGGAGCAGAUCUUCCAGUUUUUCAGAUCACGAUGGAUGGUGCCUUUGGGUGAGGAUUCAUCCUUCUGGGGGUCCCAGCCUGUGAUCCAUGUUGGGUAUAAAAUACCCUCCAGCCGAAGUUCGUGCCAGGAGUGACCCUCCCGGGACUCUGCCGGUGCCCAACCUUGGACGGCAUGUUUUCGAACCUC
Molecule: long non-coding RNA, 422 nt
Filed under: Elaeis guineensis (African oil palm)
Lineage: Eukaryota; Viridiplantae; Streptophyta; Magnoliopsida; Arecales; Arecaceae
Description: long non-coding RNA (EGUI_LNC056224)
Source: RNAcentral